AAAAAUUGUGUACUAAUCUCUGACCAAAAUUUCAAAUCGUAAACCCUAAACUACAUCGCCGCUUUCAUUCUUUUCAUAUCUUUGUGUUUUCUCCUCUCCAUUGAAGACGCUUCGAUUCUUUGAGAAUUGAAUCAGAGAGAAGCAAUGCAAAAUAAGGGUUUUAUUUGCCAGUUUCCUUACCAAACCCAAACACGCCCCCAUCUUUGCAAUCUCUCCAUCUAUCAUCUUCGCCAUUUCUUUCCUUCAGAUAAUGGUUUGUUGUUCAAAUCCAUUGUAAAAAAAGGUAUGAUUUUCAUUCUCAUCCCAAACCAUACAUAGAGAAUCAUCAAAGCAUCAAUCAAUUCGAGGGUCUUGCUUAUGCUCUGUAAUAAGUGAUGGCAUAUUAGGUGAUGAAAGUUCAGAUAUCUUUGCUGCGAACUCAAAUGCACAUGUUCUAUUUAUUAAUUCUAUAUUGAAUGAUGUUUUGGUACAUAAGUUAAGGAAGAUUUAUUACACUAUUUAAUUUUGAAUAGUUGCUGAAUGAUGACGAUGUGAGCAUUGGAGGGACCAUGUGCAUCAGUUGGGAGUGACCAGCUUAGAAUCAAAUCGGGUUAUGUGAGGUUAAAUUAAGCCUAACCCAUGAGUUGGUGAAGAGUUGCUCACAACCACCAAUAACCAUGUCGGCCAUCAACAAUGGGAGUUGGAUCAUGACAAAAAUGGCGUGUUUGAUCAUUUGAGUGAAUGUUGGUGCUGAUGUGGCGCAAUAUUAGAGCUCCUCAUUCUUGGUUUUGGCUCCAAACUACCGGGUUCUUUUUUAUGAGUGAAGCCCAUUUCGCAAUACCCGACCCCCAAUACGGUGAUGGAUCCUAUAAAAUCAUUUCUUUUUUUUUUCAUUCACCUCCUCACUUUUCAUAUUUCUCUUCAUGUUCUCCCAUAAACCCUUUAAACAACGGAUGUGUUUUUCUGUAUAUUCAUAUAUCUUCACUUUCUCCCAUAACACCCUUUAAUCAACCACCGUUUAUUAUCAGUAUCUUCAAUGUCUUCAAUCUUCUAAAAAAGUUAUGUAUAUAUGAGAUGUUUAUGUUAUUGUUUUUUUUAUUCUGAUUCACCGAUCUUCUUUUUUUUUUUGUUUCUGUGAUCAACAUCUUCUUUUGAGGUAUUGUUUUGUAUUUUUCUUAUUAUCUUCAUCGAAUUUGAACUAUAUGCUUUCCGAUGUUUAUGGAAACUUGAUUUCCGAUCGAUUUGAAUAUUGUUAACCGCUUAUUGUUUUGUUAUUAAUUGCAUGUUAAUUUUCGCCGAUCGUUGUCGCCCAUGUAUUCAUUUGACAAAAUCUAGUAGAAGAACAUCAGGUAACUAUUCAGCUUCCCCGAUUUUAAUCGCGUAUCUAAAUUUUUAUCAAUAUUUUCUUGGUUUUUUUUUUGUUUGUGAUUGAGUUACAAGACACCGACACAGACGAUGCUGAUGAUUCUGAUCCUAAUUAUGUUGAAUCUAUGGACGAUGAGUCGAAUGAUGUUUCUUCACUUUUCGACGACUCUGAUAGUGAUGUUGUUUCUACUGAUGGAAUGUCCGAUGAAGAUGAUGAGCAAGAUAGGGAUUCACCAGAUUAUCAUAAAGUUGAUCCAGACAAUCAUCCUAUAGAGUUCAUAUGGAAAUUUGACAGGCGUUUUAAUUGACAUGACUAUGAAGAUGUGUGUACAAAACUUCUCUGGUGCUGAGAAAAUGGUGGUGGUUUUCGUUAUUAUGCUUCAGAAUGGCGCAAGAAGUUUACAAAACCAAAUGGUAUAAAUCAUCCAAACAAGUGCGUCUUUGUUUAUUGUGCAGUUCAAAACAAAUCGAUUCUGAAGAAGGUGUUAAAGUAGUUGCAUUUCCUGGUUCAAUGCAAUCUAAUGAUCAGUUUUUUUGGAUGUUAUGUUAAUACCAAGUAGUUGGGUUUGUUAUCAGUA
This is a long non-coding RNA of Helianthus annuus (common sunflower), 1922 nucleotides long. RefSeq lists it as uncharacterized. The transcript is spliced from 4 exons. The record is from RefSeq and is a predicted model, not a curated record. NCBI's taxonomy places the organism in Eukaryota, Viridiplantae, Streptophyta, Magnoliopsida, Asterales, Asteraceae.